Molecule: long non-coding RNA, 485 nt
Filed under: Ficedula albicollis (Collared flycatcher)
Lineage: Eukaryota; Metazoa; Chordata; Aves; Passeriformes; Muscicapidae
Description: lncRNA (ENSFALG00000027088.1)
Source: RNAcentral
CUCACGACAGCUGUGUCUUACACUGAACUCUUGCUUGAAGUCUUUGAAUUUUCCACAAGCUUCAGUCACAGAUCUGAGUGUGCUGAUAAUUGAUUGCAGCUUCCAAGGACUCUUCCAUGCAGUCUUCUCUGUCCACUGUGAAACACAGAGUUACAGAAGGGCUGGCACUGCAGAAAUCUGAGAUAAGAGCCCUACCCCUUCCUUGGUGCGGUGAGCACGAUACGAAGGAUGAAGAGGAACUCAAGGCACAACCACGAGGACUUAGUGGGGUCUUGCCAGCAGUUAUCAAAAACAAAUAUGUCUCAUCUGUUUCCUGUCUUGAAAAGGAGGAGCAUGAGAGCCAUGGAGUGAAAUGCUCAGUGAUGUUGGGGGCAAUCACAGCCUCAGCCACUGCAAUACCUGCCCACACCCACAGCUCGGGCAAUAAACUGCUGACUACAACGAAUAUUAUAAAAAUUCCUCCCUGGAUGCCAGAGACACCUUGA